Non-coding RNA from Cinara cedri, 1740 nucleotides. The record is from the annotation of a GenBank genome assembly. Lineage: Eukaryota; Metazoa; Arthropoda; Insecta; Hemiptera; Aphididae.
GCAAAUACAAGUUAUUUUAUAAAAGGUCGUGUAUAAAAAUAGGUUUUUUAUUUUAAUAAUAUAAUACAGGCCUGGCUCAGGAACAACAGGAAAAUUACAUGAAUUAUGAUAAUUUAAAUAUAAAAAUAAUAUAGAAAAUGGUGUUACAAAAAUAAACGGGAUUAACUCAAUAGGUAUAGGUGCAAUAGAAAAAUUAAGUGCUUGGAAACUAAGCUCCCUUUAAAGGGAGAAAUUGAGAUCAGUAUUUUCAAUACGCAUACGACGAAUGACUGGAGAGUUAAGAAAGUAGUUAGACGAUAAGAAUGGGAUAUGAAACGGGACAGAUGACCGUGUAAAACGAGAGAGAAUUUUAAAAAAGAUUAAACAAUAUAUUCAGGGCUUUUAAUUGUGGAGGAAAGUAGGUUGAGUAAGAAUGAUAAGUUUACCACUUGAAUUCGGAGUUUCUAUCCCUGUUGUAUUUUUUUGGCUUGACCUUAGUUUUUUCCAGUCUAUCUUCAGGUCGUAGACUUCUCUGCGUCCCUUUUAAUGCACUCUCCAUUUCUUUUUGGUUUUGGCUACUAAAGCAACAACGUUUGCAAAUCUGAGCAUUUGUAUAAAUUCUCCUCCUACCAUCACUCCUAUAUUUUGACUGCUGAGCUUUUUAUUUAUUUCUUGUAUUAGUUGUUCGACAUAUAUGCUAAAAAACAUUGAUGACAUGGGCCACUCUUGUCUUUCCGUAUUUUUGUUGUUGUUGAUUUAUCUUCUAUUCUUAUUUCAGCCGUCUGGUGUCUAUACAAAUUGUUUAUUAACAGUCCAUCCUCGAAAUUCACUUCUAUUUGCUGUAGAAUUUGAAAUAAUUUUUGUUUUUUUUUUAAAUCAAAGAAUCACUUCUUUCAAAAUAGAAUUGUAAAUUAUUAUAAAUUAUUUAUUAUUAAUAUUGUAAAUUCCGAAAUGAAUAUUAAUACAGCAUUAACCUUUCUAUGAAAACACUUUAAUUUCAAUUUAUCAAUUAUUUUAAUGUAUAUGAUGUGUAUGAUUUUGUAUUUAUUCUUGGUUUAAAACUAACUAGUUGGCUUGCUUCAGGACCCUCCACAUAAUAUAUUGCAAGGCACUGAAAUCACUUGACUUUAUUAUGAGAACAGUGAAUUAUUUCAAAAAAGGAUCAUUCCUCAAGUUCUCCUAUACACCUUGAUUCGUAUACAAUCUUGGUUGUAUGGUACGGUCAUCAAGGAUACUCUCAAAAUUGGUAAACCUUUCCAAAUCGAACGGUUUUUAUGGGUUGUUGCGUCUUUACUCGGUAUUUCUUACACACAUCAUAAUUAUAAUCCAAUAUAUUCUGACCAGUUUUGAAUUGAUAUCCCUGGCUGAUCGCAUUUAGGAAGAACGUCAUUCACGAACACGUUCACAUUAGUAUUUAGUGAAGGUCACUCAUGAAAAUUAAAUUUAUUGUUAUUUAUUUUAGAUAAAAUAUAUUAAGGAGACGGGGUAAAAAUAAUAAUAAUAUUAUAACGUCCAAAGAUAAUUACAUAAUAAUUUAAAACAAAAGCAAAAUAAAACAGAAAUCAAAUUUACUUAAAAUCCUUCGAGAAAAUAGCUGGAUCGUGAUGAAAAACAUUGCAGUUAUAUACGGUAUACGAUAGGGGAAGGGUAACAAAAGAAUAGCGCAAGUAUAUAAUAUUAUGUUGUACAAAAAAACGCACGCCACUUUCGGAUCGUACAAUAAUUAUAAUAUAAUUAUUAAAUUUUAUUACUCACGAAUGC